This 222-nucleotide long non-coding RNA is filed under the name Gossypium barbadense (sea-island cotton). Its description in RNAcentral is "long non-coding RNA (GBAR_LNC020099)". Lineage: Eukaryota; Viridiplantae; Streptophyta; Magnoliopsida; Malvales; Malvaceae. The record is from RNAcentral.
UUACUUGGAAAGAGGUGGGGUUCUAAAAUUUCAUUUCUGAAUCAAUUAAUUUGUUUGCCAUCCUUUCUUAUCGAUCCUCAGGCUCGUUUAACCAUAUCGCAUAGUCUUUCGCAUGCUAUCAAUAUUCAUACUUCAUUUAACCUAUUCAUAUGUUAUAACUUUAUUGAUCUUGAUCGAACUCAAAUCAAAUACAUAGAUUAAUGAACUUGUAUCCCAACCUAG